GUCUGUCUGUCCAAUACGGCAACACCGGUUAAAUUCAAUGUAAAUAGAUGUGCGUGAAUUCAACAUCUCUGUCUUUAGACUGGAUUUAGUGUUUUCUUUCUUCUCUUGAGAAACUUACCAGUGAUAACAGACAAAGGAUUUUGGAGGAUUUUUCUUCGGAGUGUCUUUUGUAUAAAGUUUAGGUAUCCUAUAAGUAAUAUGGAAAUCUGUAAAAACUUUCCACCACCAGGACCUUCUUCACGAAUUGAUUUACAACCCCAACUCAGUAUUCACCAA
Long non-coding RNA from Stegodyphus dumicola, 276 nucleotides. The record is from RefSeq and is a predicted model, not a curated record. NCBI's taxonomy places the organism in Eukaryota, Metazoa, Arthropoda, Arachnida, Araneae, Eresidae.